RNAcentral lists this ribosomal RNA (1449 nucleotides) under uncultured organism. RNAcentral describes it as "16S ribosomal RNA". It matches the Rfam family "Bacterial small subunit ribosomal RNA". The record is from RNAcentral.
ACGCUGGCGGCAGGCCUAACACAUGCAAGUCGAACGGUAACAGGAAUCAGCUUGCUGAUUCGCUGACGAGUGGCGGACGGGUGAGUAAUGUCUGGGAAACUGCCUGAUGGAGGGGGAUAACUACUGGAAACGGUAGCUAAUACCGCAUAACGUCGCAAGACCAAAGAGGGGGACCUUCGGGCCUCUUGCCAUCGGAUGUGCCCAGAUGGGAUUAGCUAGUAGGUGGGGUAAAGGCUCACCUAGGCGACGAUCCCUAGCUGGUCUGAGAGGAUGACCAGCCACACUGGAACUGAGACACGGUCCAGACUCCUACGGGAGGCAGCAGUGGGGAAUAUUGCACAAUGGGCGCAAGCCUGAUGCAGCCAUGCCGCGUGUAUGAAGAAGGCCUUCGGGUUGUAAAGUACUUUCAGCGGGGAGGAAGGGAGUAAAGUUAAUACCUUUGCUCAUUGACGUUACCCGCAGAAGAAGCACCGGCUAACUCCGUGCCCAGCAGCCGCGGUAAUACGGAGGGUGCAAGCGUUAAUCGGAAUUACUGGGCGUAAAGCGCACGCAGGCGGUUUGUUAAGUCAGAUGUGAAAUCCCCGGGCUCAACCUGGGAACUGCAUCUGAUACUGGCAAGCUUUGAGUCUCGUAGAGGGGGGUAGAAUUCCAGGUGUAGCGGUGAAAAUGCGUAGAGAUCUGGAGGAAUACCGGUGGCGAAGGCGGCCCCCUGGACGAAGACUGACGCUCAGGUGCGAAAGCGUGGGGAGCAAACAGGAUUAGAUACCCUGGUAGUCCACGCCGUAAACGAUGUCGACUUGGAGGUUGUGCCCUUGAGGCGUGGCUUCCGGAGCUAACGCGUUAAGUCGACCGCCUGGGGAGUACGGCCGCAAGGUUAAAACUCAAAUGAAUUGACGGGGGCCCGCACAAGCGGUGGAGCAUGUGGUUUAAUUCGAUGCAACGCGAAGAACCUUACCUGGUCUUGACAUCCACGGAAGUUUUCAGAGAUGAGAAUGUGCCUUCGGGAACCGUGAGACAGGUGCUGCAUGGCUGUCGUCAGCUCGUGUUGUGAAAUGUUGGGUUAAGUCCCGCAACGAGCGCAACCCUUAUCCUUUGUUGCCAGCGGUCCGGCCGGGAACUCAAAGGAGACUGCCAGUGAUAAACUGGAGGAAGGUGGGGAUGACGUCAAGUCAUCAUGGCCCUUACGACCAGGGCUACACACGUGCUACAAUGGCGCAUACAAAGAGAAGCGACCUCGCGAGAGCAAGCGGACCUCAUAAAGUGCGUCGUAGUCCGGAUUGGAGUCUGCAACUCGACUCCAUGAAGUCGGAAUCGCUAGUAAUCGUGGAUCAGAAUGCCACGGUGAAUACGUUCCCGGGCCUUGUACACACCGCCCGUCACACCAUGGGAGUGGGUUGCAAAAGAAGUAGGUAGCUUAACCUUCGGGAGGGCGCUUACCACUUUGUGAUU